UACGGAAGGCAGCAGUGGGGAAUAUUGCACAAUGGGCGCAAGCCUGAUGCAGCCAUGCCGCGUGUAUGAAGAAAGGCCUUCGGGUUGUAAAGUACUUUCAGUCGUGAGGAAGGUGUUAAGGUUAAUAACCUUAGCAAUUGACGUUAGCGACAGAAGAAGCACCGGCUAACUCCGUGCCAGCAGCCGCGGUAAUACGGAGGGUGCGAGCGUUAAUCGGAAUUACUGGGCGUAAAGGGCACGCAGGCGGUUAAUUAAGUUGGAUGUGAAAUCCCCGGGCUUAACCUGGGAAUGGCAUUCAAGACUGGUUAGCUAGAGUCUUGUAGAGGGGGUAGAAUUCCAUGUGUAGCGGUGAAAUGCGUAGAGAUGUGGAGGAAUACCGGUGGCGAAGGCGGCCCCUGGACAAAGACUGACGCUCAUGUGCGAAAGCGUGGGGAGCAAACAGGGAUUAGAUACC
This 454-nucleotide ribosomal RNA is filed under the name uncultured bacterium. RNAcentral describes it as "bacterial SSU rRNA". It matches the Rfam family "Bacterial small subunit ribosomal RNA", at positions 340 to 786 of the family's 1533-position model. The record is from RNAcentral.